RNAcentral lists this non-coding RNA (23 nucleotides) under Cricetulus griseus (Chinese hamster). Lineage: Eukaryota; Metazoa; Chordata; Mammalia; Rodentia; Cricetidae. The record is from RNAcentral.
CGAAGGGUUUGCGGUGAUAAAGG